UGAGAUCUCUCAAACACUGGACCACCAAACAGGCAACAUACACCAGCUGAUAUGAGGCCCCCAACACACAUACAGCAGAGGACUUCCAGAUCUGUGUUCAUUCAGAUUCCCAAGGAAGAGGUGGAAAGAAGAGCACUACUGGGUAGUUUUAGCAGCAGUGCAGGUGAAUAUUGAUGAUUUGGAUGUAAAAUGUGCUAAAGACUCCUGUGUUUGAAUACUUGGUCUCAAGCUACUGUGCUGUUUAGGAAGGUUAUAUACAUAUAUACCCUUUCCUUAACUUUUCAGGUGCUUUAUCAUGGCAAUGGGAAAAAUAAUAGAGUGACUAAUACUGCAUUCUUGUGCAGCAGGUCAGCACACAAUGAAGUAAUUAUGUCAUUGUGAAAGCUUCCCUCAAUGGACACUGCCUGAGACAAAGGUGCAGCAGGCAAGUAAGGAUCAUUACCACGUGAGUCACUGCCUGCCUCAUUAGAUCACCUAGACAGACAUCUAGAAUUCUUUUCAGUACUUAACUUUAACUCAUAUUCACUCUUUGUAGGUUGGGAUUCUGAAUCUGUUAAAAACUAAAUGUAUGGAGGUGUAAUAAAUGAUGUGAGGAUUAUAAAUAACAAACUAUAUUUUACUUGUUAGAUGUGUGGAUUUUAGGAGCCCUUGUCACAAAAACAACAAAAAAUUUACUUGAGAUGACAUAGUUAUGUUAUUGAUUUUGUUAUAGUAAUCUCUUUACAGUACAUAUGAAUCAAAAUAUGCUGAUUACAAAAAUAUUUCCAAUAACUUUUAUUUUAUAACAAUUCACCAUAUAUAGCAUUUGUAUUUAUGCAUACUUCCUUAUGUCUGAAGUACUAAAAUAUCAAUAGUAAUUCUAACUGUGGAUUUUAAAAGUUUUAACUUAUUUUUCUGUGUAUGAAUGUUUUGCCUGCACACAUGUCUGUGUAGUACAUACAUGUUGUUCUCACAGAGGCCAAAAAGAGUACCAGACUCCUGAGACUUCAGUUACAGAUGCUGUAAACACCAUGUGGGGGCCGGGAAUUUGACUAGGUUCUCUGGGAAAGCAACCAGUGCCCUUAACCACAUAGCUGCCUCAUCAGCUCCUGUUGGUUUUCAGAAGCUAUGAACUUUACAGGAAACUACCGUUGUACACAUGCACAUAUACAUGUGUAUAUGCUCAUAUGAAUACAUACAGCUUUUUUUAUCCUUAAUUUAAACUCACAGUUACAAUUUCCAAACAAACAUACUUACCUCAACCAGAAAAACCAGCACGCACCAGAUCAGCACUACCAGUAAGCCUUUAUGGAGAGUGAAAUACCGUAGGUAUGUGUUCCAUGUUGUCACCGGGGGUAUCUUUAUCACAUCAUCAAGAAAACACUCCUGAGAAAAGAAGUGUGAUUCUGAGACAAUCCUACUCCAUGCUGCCACUGAGCUUUUAUUAU
This 1427-nucleotide long non-coding RNA is filed under the name Mus caroli (Ryukyu mouse). Its description in RNAcentral is "lncRNA (MGP_CAROLIEiJ_G0003823.1)". The record is from RNAcentral. Lineage: Eukaryota; Metazoa; Chordata; Mammalia; Rodentia; Muridae.